Molecule: long non-coding RNA, 981 nt
Organism: Cyprinus carpio carpio
Lineage: Eukaryota; Metazoa; Chordata; Actinopteri; Cypriniformes; Cyprinidae
Source: Ensembl
AGGAAACAGAGGCUACAAUUCAUACAGGCUCACCAAAAUUGGACAAAAGAAGAUUGGAAAAAUGUUGCCUGAAAUCUCAGCGCAGAUAUCACAAGUAAAUGGGGGAGCAAGAGGAUGUUCCGCAAGAAACGUGAGGAGAUUUUGCAGUGAAAAUGGAUUAAGUUUGAUGGGACUCCCUGACGCACAUUUGGAGUUGGAGGUGGCAAAAGCUAUAACCGAGACUGGACCUACAUAUGGAAGAAAGAUGAUGAAGGUGUAUCUCGCCAUGAAAGGAGUGCAUGCUGCAGAAACACGAAUUGGAUCAGCGCUCAGAACUAUGCAUCAGCCAUACCAUGAAGCAAGACGUCAGGGUGCCCGCAAUCUCAACCCCAUACCAUAUCAAGCUGAUUACAUGGGUCAAAAGGUUCAUAUGGACCAAAACGAAAAACUGGCUAUGUUUGGGGUUACCCAUGUUUUAGCCAUUGAUGGCUUCAGCAAAAAGAUUGUUGCUCAUUCUACAAUGCCUAUAAAAAACAACCUUGCCAUCUAUGAAGAUGUUUUCAGGCCUGCAGUACUUGCCUAUGGUAUGUGGGACCAGGUACGAGUAGAUCAUGGCAAGGAGUUUUAUUUGACGCUUUUCAUGCAGGAGCUGCUGUCAUCUCACCGCCAUAAUCAGGAGCGAAGGCCAUAUUUACAGACUUCAUCCACAAAGAAUCAUAUAGUUGAACGAAUCUGGCCUGAAGUCAACAAUCAUGUCAACUAUCCACUGAAGACAGCACUUACGGGGUUGGUGGAUCAAGAGGAAAUAGACAUGAACGACUCCCUUGUGAGAUAUUGUGUGUCCAACCUUACUGGCCGCUUGUGUGAGAUUGGUCUUACAAGGCUGGUGGAGUCAUGGAAUGCUCAUAGAAUUCCAGGUAAAGGAACACCAAAUGACUUGGCUGGCCGUGGGUGUCCCAAAAAAAUCCAACAGGAGCUGUUGCCUCAUUCAGCUGAAGCAGC